This 407-nucleotide ribosomal RNA is filed under the name uncultured bacterium. RNAcentral's name for it is "partial 16S ribosomal RNA". It matches the Rfam family "Bacterial small subunit ribosomal RNA", at positions 30 to 526 of the family's 1533-position model. The record is from RNAcentral.
AUUGAACGCUAGCGGCAUGCCUUACACAUGCAAGUCGAGCGGAGUGGCGGACGGGUGAGUAAUGCAUAGGAAUCUGCCUGGUAGUGGGGGAUAACUUCCCGAAAGCGUCGCUAAUACCGCAUACUAUCGGAUCAGCCUAGGUCGGAUUAGCUAGUUGGUGGGGUAACGGCCCACCAAGGCGACGAUCCGUAACUGGUCUGAGAGGACGAUCAGUCACACUGGAACUGAGAAACGGUCCAGACUCCUACGGGAGGCAGCAGUGGGGAAUUUUGGACAAUGGGCGAAAGCCUGAUCCAGCCAUGCCGCGUGGAUGAUGAAGGCCUUCGGGUUGUAAAGCACUUUAGGCGGGGAGGCGUUACCCGCAGAAUAAGCACCGGCUAACUCCGUGCCAGCAGCCGCGGUAAUAC